Molecule: ribosomal RNA, 673 nt
Filed under: uncultured Verrucomicrobiota bacterium
Lineage: Bacteria; Pseudomonadati; Verrucomicrobiota
Description: bacterial SSU rRNA
Rfam family: Bacterial small subunit ribosomal RNA
Source: RNAcentral
AGACCUGACGCUUCAAGAUGAGCCCGCGGCCUAUCAGCUAGUUGGUGGGGUAAAAGCCCACCAAGGCUAAGACGGGUAGCUGGUCUGAGAGGACGACCAGCCACACUGGAACUGAGACACGGUCCAGACACCUACGGGUGGCAGCAGUCGAGAAUUUUUCUCAAUGGGCGAAAGCCUGAAGGAGCGACGCCGCGUGGGGGAUGAAUGGCUUCGGCCCGUAAACCCCUGUCAUUUGUGAACAAGUUGACUCGGUUAACAACCGAAUCAUUGAUAGUAGCAGAAGAGGAAGGGACGGCUAACUCUGUGCCAGCAGCCGCGGUAAUACAGAGGUCCCAAGCGUUGUUCGGAUUCACUGGGCGUAAAGGGUGCGUAGGCGGUUGGGUAAGUCUGACGUGAAAUCUCCAAGCUUAACUUGGAAACUGCGUUGGAUACUAUCCGGCUUGAGGAAUGGAGGGGAGACUGGAAUGCUUGGUGUAGCAGUGAAAUGCGUAGAUAUCAAGCGGAACACCAGUGGCGAAGGCGAGUCUCUGGACAUUUCCUGACGCUGAGGCACGAAAGCCAGGGGAGCAAACGGGAUUAGAUACCCCGGUAGUCCUGGCCCUAAACGGUGCACGUUUGCUGUAAGUGGAAUCGACCCCACUUGUGGCGUAGUUAACACGAUAAACGUGCCGCC